Molecule: ribosomal RNA, 484 nt
Filed under: uncultured bacterium
Lineage: Bacteria
Description: partial 16S ribosomal RNA
Rfam family: Bacterial small subunit ribosomal RNA
Source: RNAcentral
AUUGAACGCUGGCGGCAGGCCUAACACAUGCAAGUCGAGCGGAUGAAGGGAGCUUGCUCCUGGAUUCAGCGGCGGACGGGUGAGUAAUGCCUAGGAAUCUGCCUGGUAGUGGGGGAUAACGUCCGGAAACGGGCGCUAAUACCGCAUACGUCCUGAGGGAGAAAGUGGGGGAUCUUCGGUCCUCACGCUAUCAGAUGAGCCUAGGUCGGAUUAGCUAGUUGGUGGGGUAAAGGCCUACCAAGGCGACGAUCCGUAACUGGUCUGAGAGGAUGAUCAGUCACACUGGAACUGAGACACGGUCCAGACUCCUACGGGAGGCAGCAGUGGGGAAUAUUGGACAAUGGGCGAAAGCCUGAUCCAGCCAUGCCGCGUGUGUGAAGAAGGUCUUCGGAUUGUAAAGCACUUUAAGUUGGGAGGAAGGGCAGUAAGUUAAUACCUUGCUGUUUUGACGUUACCAACAGUAUAAGCACCGGCUAACUUCGUG